This 4589-nucleotide long non-coding RNA is filed under the name Gossypium barbadense (sea-island cotton). RNAcentral's name for it is "long non-coding RNA (GBAR_LNC006419)". Lineage: Eukaryota; Viridiplantae; Streptophyta; Magnoliopsida; Malvales; Malvaceae. The record is from RNAcentral.
UCCGACGUCCUUCAAUCCCCGAGCUAGCUUAGUGAUACUAUAAGAAAAUGGAAAAGAAAUGGGAGUAAGCACAAAGCUUAGUAAGUUUGCAUGUAAAUAAUUAACAAUAUUAACCAUGCAUUAUUAUACAUAUAACACAAUAAUAUUUAUCACAAUGUCAUCCAAUAUCAUAGGUACAUUUUAAGUCAUGCCUUUUACAUAAUGUACAAUAAAAUUCAUUAUCAUAAUUCAUUCAUUCACUUCUUCCUAGGUCUCAUCGAUUCAUAAUCUUAAUAUUUAUGAGCUUUGUGUACGUACCUGUACCCUUUCAACAUGAUCAUACCAUGUCAUCUCUUUGACAUAAUCGUUGGAUUACCCGUUGAACCACUUGGAAUACUAAAGGAUACUCGAAACUCUCAUACACAUGGUAGGAUACCAAUGCCAUAUCCCAGAUAUGGUCCUACAUGGGAUCACAUAUCAAUCCCAAUGCCAUGUCCCAGACAUAGUCUUACAUGGGAUCGUAAAUCGAUGCCAAUGCCAUGUCCCAGACAUGGUCUUACAUAGGAUCACAUAUAGAUGCCAAUAGCCCAACUAUGGUCUUACAUGAAAUUACAUAUCGGUGCCAAAGCCAUGUCCCAGAUAUGGUCUUACAUGGGAUCGCACAUAACCCUAAUGUCAUGACAUUUGUAUCCUAACUAUUCCUACCAUUCAACUAGGGUUUUGAGAUAUCAAACUUCGUCGAAUCGUCACCAAGUCAUCAUUAAUUAAAUCCACAAAGGCAAUUACACAAUUCAUGCAAUAUUAAAGCAUUAAAAACAUAAUAAUGUAAUGUUAUAUUAUUUACACAUGAACUUACCUCGAUACCAAAAUAUGGCUAACUGUUCGAUUUAGUCCACAACCUUGUUCUUUCCUCGGUUUAGGUUCAGACUCUGUUUUUCUUGAUCUAUAAUAGAAAAUUUCACUUAUUUAAUUAUCAAAUUGUUCAAAUCAAUCCAUAAAUCAUACUUUGGAAAAAUUACAAUUUUGCCCCAUUAACUUUCACAUAUUUACAAAUUAGCCCCUAAGCUCGUAAGAUGAAUUGUGUUCAUUUUCUUUAUUGCCCAAGCCUAGUUGAACUUAUAACAUGCCCAUAACAGCCCAAAUUUUUCAUUGAAUCAUACAACUUACUACUCAUUUUACAAACUUUACAAAUAAGUCCUUUUUUAGCCAUUUUCACUAGAAAUCACUUGGUAAAAGAUGUUAAACACAUAUCAAAAUUCCAUAAUCUACCAUGAAAUAUCAAAAUACAUGCAUUUCAUACAUGGGUAAAAUUUCAAACAUGAAUCCUACUUCAAAAUAUGGCUAGAAAUAGGUAAAUCGGGUAACGAGGGUUUCAAAAAUGUAAAGAACAUUAAAACAGGCUAGGAUGCACUUACUAUUGAGCUUGAAAGUUGAAGAAACCCUAGAUAUGGAACCCUUAGAAUUUUUGACACACAUGAAGAAGAUGGACAUCAAUUUUGACUUAUUUUUCCCUUUUUAUUCUUUUAUUAACUAAAUGAUAAAAAUGCCCAUAAAGCCUUUCUUUCAAAUUUUUUCUAUUCAUGCCCAUUUUUGUCCAUAAAUAUAGAAAUUGGGAAAUUUUCUAUUUAAGGACCUCUAAUUUGCAACUUCAUACUUAAAGCUUCUAGAACUCAAAGUUUGCAACUUUUGCAAUUUAGUCCUAAAUGUUAAAUUGGACACUUUAUCAAUAGAAUUUCUUCAUAAAAUUUUCACACAAAUAUGAAAUCAUAUCAUAGACCUCAUAAGAAUCAUAAAAAAAUUAUUUCUACUAUGAAUUUGUGGUCUCGAAACUACUAUUCCGACUAUGCCCUAAUUCGGGAUGUUACACAGAUAACUCUUACACUAAGCCUUAAUUCUUCAUCUUACUAUUCAUGCACUCUUAUGGACCUACUCUUUCAUAGCACAACAUGCAGAGUCAUAAAACUUACCUGACAUAGAGCAAUCACUAAUAAAAUUUGUAUCUCAACUUCAGCUUAAAGAAAUUCUUCGGUUCCUCAAGCCUUAUAUAACCUUGCCUUAGAAGAAGGAAGAAGAGAACUCUCAUUUCCCAAAGAAGGAAGAAGAGAACUCUCAUUUCCCAAACUUGAAUAUAUAUUAUUGUAAUCUAAGUCAUUAUUGGAACUUGAAAAAUGUCACAUCAUUACUGAAUUGUCUUAUCAAAAGUCUACAACUUCCGAGAAACCUAAUUGAGUAUUCCUUUAUCUUUUAACUAUUUUGGUUCACAUUCAAUUGGUUCCUAACCAACUUACCUUGCAACUUAACUUGCACAGUACUAUAGUUAAUCGGGCGCAUCAUACCCCUGGUAUGAACUCAAACCCUCGAUACCAUUUUACUUGAUCGCAGGUCUUAUUGCAACUAAUAUGGCCACCUGACAAAGAAUAUUUAUUAACUUAUCCACAUAAUUGUACACACCCACUCUAUACACCGAAAGAUACACUUGGCCGAAGCCUACUCCGCCAAUCAUACUACCUUUAGACUAUGUGUCAAACCUUGUACCCGCCAGAACCAGAGUGUUACAAUAAAGACGUAACCUUUGUAUAUUCGAAAGAAGUACCUAUUACCCGUGUAUGUGCUUCUCCCUGAAUCACGAUGAGGUGAUGGCUCAAAGAUUUAAAGAGUGUAAGUAAAGUAUCAAAGACAAUGAAGAGAAGGAAAUAGUCUUAGAAUAAGGUACAAUAACAGACAAGUAUAAGAGAAUAAAAUUUGAAGAAGUAUUCUCUAGAGACAAAGUUAAAGGUUAAGAACGAUGAGUUUGUCAAACUAAAAUAUCAGUUUCUACAUACAAAUAUGACCCAGGAAAAAGAUGUUACCCUCACGAAGUUCUUAUGAACUUAUAUGUGUGUGUUAUGCUGUAAGCAUGAUGUUGUGGGUCUGCGCCAAGAGAAACAAUGUCAGGACUACGCCAAGAAGCAGCGUAUCGAGUUAUUAUGCAUACAAAGCAAGUUGUUGAUGAUUUUGAAGCUUGCUAUGUUACCUAGAAUUCCGUACUUUUAGGGACAAUUGUAAUAGAGUAGGAUGUUAGAUUUGGUAAUUUUGCAACUUAGUUGCCAUGUAUUGCAAAUGUAUUGACUUUAGUAAUUUAGUUGAAAAGUUGUAAUUAAGGGCAUUGUAAUUUGAUUGAAAUUUGUAUAAGUAGACUAAGUUAUUGUUCGUAUUUAUGUGGUAACACUCAAGAUCCGAGUUUGGUUAAUCGAAUCGGGUUGAGGGCGUUAUAAUUUCACUUGAUUCGAUUCGACUCAACUCAAAUUUCAUUUCACUCGACUUGAUUCGAAAAAAUUUCAAAUCGAGUUAGGAUGAUAAAAUAAGACUUGUCAACUGAAAUUACUUGAAAAGUUUUUACUCGAUUCAACUCGAUUCGGUCAAAUGCUCACACCUACUUACUGUAAAUUACUCCACAUUUUUCACCUUUUAUCUUGAAUAACUACUCACAAACCCCUCAUAUCCCUCUAUCCAGUUGAUAAAUUCCUUUUAUUAUAUAAAAAUAUUACAAAAUUAAUUUUAUAAUUAAAUAAAAGUUUGGUCUGAAAAUCCAAAUGGAGACAAUCUUAUUCUUUUAGAAAAAAAAAAUCUAGUUUUCUUUUGAAAUUGUAACAUAUAAUCAUAUUAAAAUUUUUACCAUAAUUUUUACCAAAAAAAAAUAUUUUCAUAAUCAAUCAUUAUAAAUAUUGAAUUGACUUGUACCUCAAAUUAAUUUACUCACAUAUCAAUGGGAUAUCAUAAUAUAUGAUUUAAGAAAUUUAAAUGUUUGAGAUCUGUGUAAAAAUUAUAGGGUGAAAAAAAGAUAUCUAAAUAAAAUGACAAUUUCGAAAAUUCAAAGGUUACCCCCAUAUUUUGGUUGAAUAGUAGGUUUUCAAACCAUAUAAACAACUUUUUUUAAAAUAAAAAUUGUUUAAAUUCUUAUUUUGACCACAAAAAUCAAUUUUAAUGGAAUUAGGAAAGUGCCAACAAUGAAAAGGACCUUAUCGUCUAAUUAAAAAAAUUACCAAGACCAUCAAAGUUGGUUAGAAGAGUAGAAGCAAAUAGAAAUGUGGAAAUUUUUAUUUGGCCCACAAAGACCAGGUGUGGAGAGCUUUGUUUAGCUUCUACCAAACUUAAAACGGAAACACAUACUAGUUCCUAUUUAUUUAUUCAUUAAAUAACAUUCUAAAUCUAAUCCAAAAAACACCAAGGGUAAAGUGGUCAUUUCAGUCAGAUUUUUCUCUUCUUUUUUCUCUUUAUUGUAAAGCCUUUUAGUAUAGUAGUGCAAAGUUGGAUAGAGUAUUAUAGUCCAAAACAAUUAAUUUCGCCACAAGAAAAUAAAAGCUUUUCUAAAAAAGGACAGUAAUAAUAAUAAAACUAUUCAAACUCUAACGUCCCUCUCCCAGCAAAACAAACAAAAGCGAUGAAAGUGAUAAUAAUGAGGUGCGUCAUAAAUAAUAAAAAAGCAGGUGCUUUUUGUGCUAUUACCGGACCACGUGUUAGGAAAUUAAUGAACCUGAUUAGGUGCAGAACCAUACCUCUGGGUGAUCUCAGCUGCAGCUGAUUGUUAAUGCUACGUGUCCAUUCCAUGCCGACGCGGCCAUCCAAGUCAC